RNAcentral lists this long non-coding RNA (1395 nucleotides) under Equus caballus (horse). RNAcentral describes it as "lncRNA (ENSECAG00000051958.1)". The record is from RNAcentral. Lineage: Eukaryota; Metazoa; Chordata; Mammalia; Perissodactyla; Equidae.
CAGCUGCCUCUAACCUCCCAGAUGGGAGGAGAGGAGAGAGCUGCGGCAGGUCAGUGCUCUGGGUGCAGGCCCUCCAUACUGGCUGACUCCCAGGUCCCCUGGGGAGUCCAUGAUAUACCCAGCUCUAGGCCCCAGCCAGACCGAUCGGUCUGGAUCUCUGAGGAUUCUCUCAAUAAAAAGCUGCAACAAAACCUCAAUAUGGUCUGGAGCCAACUAUGCAGAAGCGAAGCAGGGAUGUCACAAAUCCUUUUUCCCCUGAGCUGGACGACCCCGGCUGCUCAGGCUCUCCCCUCCAGCUGGGCUUCACAUCUCUUACGACCCACCCAACGUGAAUGUUGCUGUAGCCUCUGUGCAGCCCCGAGGAGGCUAGCUUCACCCGCCUGUACCCGCACGCUCCCUCGGGCCGCCUCCUCGCCAGUUCUGUUUGGAAGACUGCUGGCCUGCUGGGUCCGGCCUUCGACGUGUGGCCUUCCCCUGAGCACAGGAAAGUGCAUACAGGGUGCGUCUGAAGGUUACUUGGCUGCUGUUUUAAUGGAAUAGAAGAACAUGUCUUUGGUCUUUAAAAAUUCAAGAGGCAGGAACCAACUCUGGAAAAGCCCUGUUCUGGUCAGAUUAAGAAGCAGGAGGUUAGAACCGCUGUCGGGUCAGCGUUGGGGCGAUGCUCGUCUCGAGUGUGCAGGCUUGACGUCGGGCGCCCUGGGGCCCUCACCAGUCGCACGCUCUCCCGCAGACACUCACUGUCCCCCUGCCCUGGUUUCACCGGCCUGCAUCCUCCUUCCUCCUGCAGAGGAUGUGCCCCCUCAGGCAGAGACCUCAGUUUCCACUCGCCUCAGCGUCUGUGCGCGGCACCUGCCUGGCCGAGCCCCGCGUGUCCCCUGGGUCUGUGCUCAGUGCUCGGGCUGGGCUGCCCGGGCUGGGGAUGGCCGGCAGCAUCACAAACCUCUCUGGGGAGGCUGGUCUGUGCCGGGCACUGAACCACGUGCUCUUCAUGGGUUAUUUCAUUUACUCCUCAUAGUGAAUGUAUGCGAUGGGGCAUACGACUGUCUCCAUUACAGAUGGGUCUGAGGUUGCCCAAGGCCACGAGACAGGGGACUGGGCAGGGUUCCAGGGACACUUCUGGGGUGUCCUCUGGGAUUAGAAGAAUGCAGACCCCAUGGUCCUGCUCUGUGGUAACUCCACAAAUUCCCGAGUCUUCUCAGGUUCUGCCCGUGAGCAGUGAUGAUAACCAGAGGGAAGGAAGGCAGGAACAGGGAGAAACCAGGGAGAAUUAGCACAUGAUCUGUGAUUAUUUCUUAGAGAAAAUGGAAAAGAUGUUUGCAUAUGUUUUCAUCAACCUUAAAACACCUGCCAUAUCUCUGUCCCUCUGUCCAUCAGUGAAUGUUAGAGGGACUGAGG